This 524-nucleotide ribosomal RNA is filed under the name uncultured bacterium. Its description in RNAcentral is "partial 16S ribosomal RNA". It matches the Rfam family "Bacterial small subunit ribosomal RNA", at positions 28 to 523 of the family's 1533-position model. The record is from RNAcentral.
GACGAACGCUGGCGGCGUGCCUAAUACAUGCAAGUCGAGCGCAGGAAACUGACGGAACUCUUCGGAGGGAAGGCAGUGGAAUGAGCGGCGGACGGGUGAGUAACACGUAAGGAACCUGCCUCAAGGAUUGGGAUAACUCCGAGAAAUCGGAGCUAAUACCGGAUAGUUCAACGGACCGCAUGGUCCGCUGAUGAAAGGCGCUCCGGCGUCACCUUGAGAUGGCCUUGCGGUGCAUUAGCUAGUUGGUGGGGUAACGGCCCACCAAGGCGACGAUGCAUUGCCGACCUGAGAGGGUGAUCGGCCACACUGGGACUGGGACGCGGCCCAGACUCCUACGGGAGGCAGCAGUAGGGAAUCUUCCACAAUGGACGAAAGUCUGAUGGAGCAACGCCGCGUGAGUGAUGAAGGUUUUCGGAUCGUAAAACUCUGUUGUAAGGGAAGAACACGUACGAGAGGAAAUGCUCGUACCUUGACGGUACCUUACGAGAAAGCCACGGCUAACUACGUGCCAGCCGCCGCGGUAA